CCUACGGGAGGCAGCAGUGAGGAAUAUUGGACAAUGGGCGAGAGCCUGAUCCAGCCAUGCCGCGUGCAGGAAGACUGCCCUAUGGGUUGUAAACUGCUUUUACAGAGGAAGAACCCUCCCCACGUGUGGGGAGUUGACGGUACUCUGCGAAUAAGGAUCGGCUAACUCCGUGCCAGCAGCCGCGGUAAUA
RNAcentral lists this ribosomal RNA (190 nucleotides) under uncultured bacterium. Its description in RNAcentral is "partial small subunit ribosomal RNA". It matches the Rfam family "Bacterial small subunit ribosomal RNA", at positions 338 to 525 of the family's 1533-position model. The record is from RNAcentral.